UNANACAUGCAAGUCGAKCGAACUUCGGGUUAGUGGCGGACGGGUGAGUAACGCGUGAGAAUCUGCCCUCAGGAGGGGGAUAACGGUUGGAAACGACCGCUAAUACCCCAUAUGCCGCGAGGUGAAAUGAAUUUCGCCUGAGGAUGAGCUCGCGUCUGAUUAGCUAGUUGGUGGGGUAAAGGCCUACCAAGGCAUCGAUCAGUAGCUGGUCUGAGAGGAUGAUCAGCCACACUGGGACUGAGACACGGCCCAGACUCCUACGGGAGGCAGCAGUGGGGAAUUUUCCGCAAUGGGCGAAAGCUGACGGAGCAACGCCGCGUGAGGGAUGAAGGCCUCUGGGCUGUAAACCUCUUUUAUCAAGGAAGAAGAUCUGACGGUACUUGAUGAAUAAGCCACGGCUAAUUCCGUGCCAGCAGCCGCGGUAAUACGGGAGUGGCAAGCGUUAUCCGGAAUUAUUGGGCGUAAAGCGUCCGCAGGCGGCCCUUCAAGUCUGCUGUUAAAAAGUGGAGCUUAACUCCAUCAUGGCAGUGGAAACUGUUGGGCUUGAGUGUGGUAGGGGCAGAGGGAAUUCCCGGUGUAGCGGUGAAAUGCGUAGAUAUCGGGAAGAACACCAGUGGCGAAGGCGCUCUGCUGGGCCAUCACUGACGCUCAUGGACGAAAGCCAGGGGAGCGAAAGGGAUUAGAUACCCCUGUAGUCCUGGCCGUAAACGAUGAACACUAGGUGUCGGGGGAAUCGACCCCCUCGGUGUCGUAGCCAACGCGUUAAGUGUUCCGCCUGGGGAGUACGCACGCAAGUGUGAAACUCAAAGGAAUUGACGGGGCGCCGCACAAGCGGUGGAGUAUGUGGUUUAAUUCGAUGCAACGCGAAGAACCUUACCAGGGUUUGACAUCCUGCGAAUCUCUUGGAAACGAGAGAGUGCCUUCGGGAACGCAGUGACAGGUGGUGCAUGGCUGUCGUCAGCUCGUGUCGUGAGAUGUUGGGUUAAGUCCCGCAACGAGCGCAACCCACGUCUUUAGUUGCCAGCAUUUAGUUGGGCACUCUAGAGAGACCGCCGGUGAUAAACCGGAGGAAGGUGUGGAUGACGUCAAGUCAUCAUGCCCCUUACAUCCUGGGCUACACACGUACUACAAUGCUACGGACAAAGGGCAGCAACUUCGCGAGGACAAGCAAAUCCCAUAAACCGUGGCUCAGUUCAGAUCGUAGGCUGCAACUCGCCUACGUGAAGGAGGAAUCGCUAGUAAUCGCAGGUCAGCAUACUGCGGUGAAUACGUUCCCGGGCCUUGUACACACCGCCCGU
This 1298-nucleotide ribosomal RNA is filed under the name uncultured cyanobacterium. RNAcentral describes it as "bacterial SSU rRNA". It matches the Rfam family "Bacterial small subunit ribosomal RNA", at positions 49 to 1397 of the family's 1533-position model. The record is from RNAcentral. Lineage: Bacteria; Bacillati; Cyanobacteriota.